GGGGGGGGGGGGGGGGGGGGGGGGGGGGGGGGGGGGGGGCAGGCGCUGCGGACCAGGCCAGUCCCAGGGGACCACACCUUGGCUGUGAAACGGGGUGUGUGUGGAGGGCUGGUGGGGAGGGGGCAGCCUGCGGGCGGGGACGUGGAGACGCGCAGGCUGGGGGCGGCGCAGGCGGGCUGAGGGGUCCUGGGCUCGCCAGGGCCUCGUCUGGGGUUAUGACUCCCGCGGGAAGCACGACUGCUUCGGAGAGUUCUCCACCGCCUUCGAGGAGAUGCAGAAAGCCUUUGGGGAGAACCAGGUGGCCGUUGACUUCACCCUCGGAACAGCUGCUCCCUUCACUAUAUCAACUCCUUCCAGCCCAGCGAGUACCUGCAGGCCCUGGUGGCCGUGGGCGAGAUCUGCCAGGACUAUGACAGGUGCGCUGGCCUCCCCACCCCGGGCGCACCCCCGCUGUCCCCCUCACCUUCACACAGACCCGGGCUUCCGAGUCCCACUGCACAGACCAGUAAACUGGGGCUGUCGGGGCCAAGCUCCCACACCGGUGGCUCUGCCCCUUGUCUGCGCGCAUGCUGGGCAGCUCCUUUGUGGCUUUUUGCCUCAGUUUCCCCCAUGUGGCUCAGGGUGGGGCCUGGCCCCCCCAAAAGGGUCAGCCUGGUCUCCUGGUUCUGUUGAUGUCUCCCCCCCACCCCAUCCCCAGGAGACCAGGGCCCUGGGUGAUGGGGCCACCUCUCUUUCAGCGACAAGAGGCUCUCUGCUUUGGGGUUUGGAGCCCAGAUCCCUCCCAAGGAUGAGGUAGGAGGCCUGGGUCCCGGGACCCGCUGGUUGCUGCCUCCCCCCUCCCCUGGGAGCCAGCUACCGUGUGAUGGGCAGUAGACAGGGUUCAGGGACCAGCCUCUGGCCAGAGGUCUGACCUUUGACCUCCCAGCACCAGCCCAGUGAUCCUAGGGCUGAAGAUAAGCCCUGUGGCCCUGUCCGGAGAAGGGGGACAUUAGUCCAGAAUCCUCCAGUGAGAAGGGAUUUUAGCUGGCUUAAGCAGGAACUUGGUGGGGUUUAUCAGCUAAUGAAACUCAGAAGCUUCAGGUCUGGCUGGAUCCAGGGCUGGAGCGAUGCCCUAGCACUAGUCUGUCUGUCCACCCUCUGUCCCCAGUGACUCCCGCCCAUGGGAGCUCCAAACCUGCUUCCCCCAGUGGGUCAGGAUCGACUGGCUGACCGGUCCUUUCUGUGCCCGCCCAGGUGUCCCAUGACUUUGCCAUCAAUUUCAACCUGGAGGACGGUGAGUGUGAAGGUAGGAGCUCCAGGUGCCUGGGCUGGGGGUGGGGUGGCAGCGAGGCCGGCUCAUGCCCUUCCCCCCGCAGGCAUCCAGGGCAUGGUGGAGGCGUCCCAGAACUGCCUGCCCAGGGUCCAGCUGUAUGGCCACCACGUGGCUCCCAUCAUCUCCAAGGUGGCCUGCACGGCUGCAGCUGAGGAACGCAGCGGAGAGGCUCCUGUAGGUGGUGGGCGGGCACUGCGGGGACCGCGUGCCUUAGAAGGUGUGCCUGCUGCUGGGGAGGUGGGACCGGAUGGGGGUUUGCAGAGGUUGACAGAGCAGCCCGCGGGAGGCCCUGAGGCAGGGAGCGAGAGGCAGCUGGGUGGCAGUGGGGCUGAGAGACCAGGAGGCCCCAGAGCCAGUGGGGUAAGGUGAAUUCUUGCCCUGGAGGCUGACUUGCCGAGCCCGCAGGCAGCCCGAUGCUUAUGGUUCUCUUGGUCCAAUUGUGUAUACGUCGUUAUUUUUUUUUUUUUUUGUCUUUUUUUUGUUG
Molecule: long non-coding RNA, 1796 nt
Filed under: Sus scrofa (pig)
Lineage: Eukaryota; Metazoa; Chordata; Mammalia; Artiodactyla; Suidae
Description: lncRNA (ENSSSCG00065071360.1)
Source: RNAcentral